GAGAGAACCAGUCCAUCUUGCCUGUGGCUGUGCCCUGUUGUGUAUGCCUGCCCUGGCCCCUGCCUCUGCCAAAUGACAUUCUGGUGUGGAGCCACUUUAUGCCAGGCACCGGGCCAGGUGCUGAGAGUACAUCAAUAAAUCAAGACAUCAUAACACACAGUCUUGACGGCUAAACAGAUGAAGAAGUAAAAAAUAUGUAAAUCAAGACAUCAGAACGCAUAGUCUCGGUGGCUAAACAGAUGAAGAAGCAAAAAAUGUGUAAUCUGGUUUGAAAAGUGGUGUGUGCUGCAGGUAGUGACAGCUCUUUAAAGGGGUGCAUGUUAAUUGGAUCUGCGAAAUGGAGGCCACAGAGUUGAGCUUGCCCUGCGGCUGUGAGCUCCGAUCAGUCUUCCUAAGAAGGGAGGGCCCUCCAGCUCCUCCCAUCACAUGGGAAACACGAUGAGCUGCUCCCAAAAGAAAUCAGAGAGGCAGACAAACUCACAGGGGACUAACUACAGAUGGGGUGGCUUCAACAGACGAUUAUCCUCACACAUUCUGGAAGCUGAAGUCCGAGAUCAUGGCGUGGAAAGGUUGGUUUCUCUCUCCCUGGAUGGCCGACUUUUCCUUGUGUCCUCACAUGACUGUCCCUCUGUGCAUGUCUGUGUCCUAAUCUCCUCUUCUGAUAAGGACACCAGUCAUAUGGGAUAUGGGAUUAGGACCCACCCUAACAGGCUCAUUUGAAUUUAAUCACCUCUGUAAAGACCCCAUUUCUAAAUACAGUUGAUUUCCGGGGUACUGGGGGUUAGAACGUCAACAUCGGAAUUGGAGAAAGUGGGGGCACAGUUCAGGCCGUAACAGCCCACCUCGACGGCGUCCUUGGCCAUCUCUGGUGAGACUCAUGGGACUCCUCCCCCACCUUCAGCAUCAGCGCCUGGAUACCACAUUUCCAUUUUCCAGGCGAGACAGCUGACAAGGGUAAAGCAGAACCGCCAGGGAUGAGACUCAAAGAUCCCAGAAUACAUUUUACCCUAUCGAGACCCUCAUUUUAAAAAUGAAACUGAGCCACUGCGCCCGGCUGGAGUUGUAGGUUGUUAGCCACAGUUUGCUUUCACAUGUAGCGGGUAUCGGGUUCUUGAUCCUGGCUGUUGUCUUUCCACGGCCUUGUGUUCACACUGUGUUCGGAAAGGAAGCUGUGGUCUUACAGGUCUUCACACAUCAGUGCUUUAUGUGCGCCUUACAGAUCUUCACGGAUCUGUGCUUUAUGUUGCAGGAGGUCAGUAGGUUUAGGUUGGUUGGGUCUCUUCAAAUGUGAAAAGUCCCCACAUAUCAGCCAGGCACAGGGGCUCACACCUGUAAUUCCAGCAUUUUGGGAGGCUGAGGCAGGCAGAUCACCUGAGGUGAAGAGUUUGAGAUCAGCCUGGCUAAUAUGGUGAAACUCCAUCUCUACUAAAAAUACAAAAAUUAGCUGGGCUUGCUGGCGGGCACCUGUAAUCCCACCUACUCGGGAGGCUGAGGUUGGGGAAUCGCUUGAACGCCGGAGGCAGAGAUUGCAGUGAGCGGAGAUUGUGCCAUUGUACUCCAGCCUGGGCGACACAGUGAAACUAUGUCUCAAAAAAAAAAAAAAAAACAGAAAAAGUCACCACAUAUCAAGGAAACGUGUCCCAUGAAUGGGGCCUUAAGAGCCUGCUCUUUCAUGCUGCAUGAGUCCCCUGGCCCCCAGCCCGCCCUCCUCAUCUCCCCUCAACCCAACGGCCUAGGACCCCACUGAUGCCUCAGGGCCUGGAAGCCUCUCCCGCCACACCUUCUCCUGGUCCUGGGAUGGCGAAAUGACUGCUCACAAUGUGGCCAGGAUGGAUGGAGGACAUCAUAUUGUUCCUCUAGCCCAGUAUUCUGAGAACCCGCUGGCUGUGAUUCAGAAUAAAGGAGAAAUGAGGCCUGUUUCUUGGGCAGUGGAGGUGGGGAUUUUUUUUUCUUUUUAAUUUGGAUUGAAGUUUUUAGCUGUGAGUAAUGGUUGGCUUGUGCCAGAGAAGGCGGCACCUGUGCACAAGGAUGGAGCCCAGAAGGCCUGAGCCUGGGGUUUAGGAGCCGCUGGGAGAGGCGGAGCUGCAGAAAGGAGCCACGGAGCUCCUGGGAGAGUGGGGCCCGCGUCGUCUCAAGCCAGCAGCCAACACCACCCCCGAGAUGGCUCCAGCUGGGACACAAAAGGAACCCAUGGUUGUGCCGGGAAGUGUUGCCACAGCAGAUUUCCAAGAACUGAUUCUCAAAGAGAAGCCAGGCAGGGCUCCCAGCCCUGGCUCUGGGAACGCACAGACUGGGGGCUCCUAAACCCCUGAGCGCCACAGCCUCCCCGGGGAAGCCGGACCCUGUUAGCUCGUUGCACUCGAUGGCUCCAGGCUUUUCACAUGGGCGGAAUGGAAUGAACACGUGUGGGAAUCAUGACGAGGAUUCCCAAGCCGCUUCCCAACAUGGUAAAGUUGUAGGGUAGAACAUUCCCACUGCAGACAAAGGCGUUCCUCACCCAAGCCUGAGCACACAGAUGGUUAGAAAUAGCCCAGGGCCACGUGGUGGGGGGGGGGGGGGGGCGCCUGUAGUCCCAGGAGACCAGGCAGGAGAAUCGCUUGAACCUGGGAGGUGGAGAUUGCAGUGAGCCGAGAUCAUGCCACUGCACUCCAGCCCGGGCAGCAGAGGGAGAUUCCAUCUCAAAAAAAAAAAAAAGAAAGAAAGAAAAAAAAGAAAAAAGAAAGAAAAAAAGUAGCUCAGGGCCGAAGUAGAGUGGGAGAAGGGCCCAAGGGCAGGGGUGGCCUUGGGGUCAGGAGGCAGGACUUUCAUCGUACUGCAAGCAGGGCCAGAGAGGCAGUCUAUCCACGUGCCUCCAUCUGUGUGUACUCCUGUCUCGGUCUCCAGCACGAAGCAGGUGCUUGGCCAUCAUUUUGGGGAAACUACUGCCCAUGGGGGCCUCCUAGGUUCCCAGCCAAGGUGUCUGAGCAGCUGUUUGCUUUGUGCUCUCGGCUCUAUAGGCCAAGCAGGCUAAAUCCACUUGAACUACAGUAAUUCCUUCCUCCUGUGCUGGCUGGACACCUCACUGUGACACAGCACACCCUGCGGUCUCCUUUGGACUAGGCAAAGAAGGGUCCAGAUCACCGCACAGGACCUUGUUCAUUUAGGUGACAAUGAUCUCUUGAGGGUCUACAAAGGAAGAACUGGGAAGGCAGUAUCUGGGGAGAACGUGAGCCUUAAACACAAACGACACCCAUGAUUUCCUUCAUUACUAGGUGAGACGUGCCCCACAGAACAAGGACAGGGUGCAAGGAGAGCUGACAACUGGGGCGAACCACACUGCAAGCACUGAGCUAGUCUGAUGGGGGAGGGCGGUGGGCAAGUGGGCUCUGUGAUGGCAGCGCAAGAGGGAAGACCCGGCCCCCACUCUCAUUCUUAGCUGCAUCCUGGCAAACUCAGGCCAUAGUCCAGAGGCCCCUUUCCUCCAUCCUACUGAGCAGCCAGUGGGGUUGGAGGGGGCAUGAGAUGUGGCCCCUGCCCCAAGACAGAGACAAUAACACAAACAUCUUCACACCACAGGGGGCCCUAAAUUUUUGAUCAAGCACUUUGACCACUAAGUAAAUUUUGAGUGCCUUCCUGUAAGUAGUAGGUGAAUAGUGGCCCUCAAAAAGAUAUGUUCAUGUCCCAACCUUUGGUACCUGUGAAUACAACCUUGUGUACAAUAAGGGUCUUUGGCCGGGCACGGUGGCUCACACCUGUAAUCCCAGCACUUUGAGAGGCCGAGGUGGGUGGAUCACCUGAAGUCAGGAGUUUGAGACCAGCCUGAUCAAUAUGGUGAAACCCUGUCUCUACUAAAAAUACAAAAAAAUUAGCCAGGCAUGGUGGCAUGCACCUGCAGUCUCAGCUACUAGGAAGGCUGAGACAGGAGAAUUGCUUGAACCUGGGAGUUGGAGGUUGCAGUGAGCCGAGAUUGCACCACCGCACUCCAGCUUGGGUGACAGAGCGAGACUCCGUUUCAAAAACAAACAAACAAACAAACAAAAAUAAGGGUCUUUACAAAGGUAAUUGACUUAGAGAUCUCAAGAUGAAAGCAUCCUGGAUUUAGGGUGACCCUAAAUACAAUGACUGUGUCCUUAUCAGAAGAAGAAAGGACGCAGAGGCCAGGUGCAGUGGCUCACACCUGUAAUCCCAGCACCUUGGGAGGCUGAGGCGGGUGGAUCACCUGAGAUCAGGAGUUUGAGACAAGCCUGACCAAUAUGGUGAAACCCCAUCUCUACCAAAAAUACAAAAAUUAGCUGGGCAUAAUGACAUGUGCCUGUAAUCCCAGUUACUCGAGAGGCUGAGACAGGAGAAUUGGUUGAACCGAGGAGAUGGAGGUUGCAGUGAGCCGAGAUCAUGACACUACACUCCAGCCUGGGCAACAGAGUGAGACUCCAUCUCAAAAAGGAAAAAAAAAGAAGGAGAAGAAGAGACACAGACACAGAGACACACAGGGACGAGGCCAUGAGAGACAGAAGCAGAGACUGUAGGGGUGCGGCCAUGCACCGGGGCACACUGAGGGGUGCCAGCAGCCCCUAGAAGCUGGGAGAAGCCUGGAAAAGAUAUGCCCUCAGAGCCUCCGGAAGGAACCCACCCUGCGGACACCUUGACUUCAGACUUCCAGCCUCCAGAACUGGGAGGAUAAAUCUCUGUUGUUUAAGCUACUCAGUCUGUGGUCAUUUAUUACGGCAGCCCCAGGGAAUGAACACACUGUUUGUUUAUUUGUUUGUUUGUUUGUUUUUUAGACAAUGUCUUGCUCUGUUGCCCAGGUUGGGUGCGGUGGCACAAUCAUGGCUCACUGCAGCCUCGACUUUCCAGGCUCCAGCGAUCCUCCCACCUCAGCCUUCCAAGUAGCUGAGACUACAGGCGUGCACCACCAUGCCUGGCUUGUUUUUGCAUUUUUUUGUAGAGACGAUGUCUCACCAUGUUGCCCAGGCUGGUCUUGAACUCCUGAGCUCAAGCAAUCCUCCCACCUUAGCCUCCCAUAGUGCUGGGAUUACAGGCGUGAACCACCGUGCCUGGCCAGGAAAUGAACACACUCUCAUACAAAUUUAUGCAUUUCUACAUUGAGUAGUCCAUGGUAAUAUCCUAUGUACACUAUGAAACCACAAAGCAGUUGGCAGAAAGCAAGAGGUGCAUGGGGCAAGGGGAAGAUACAAGUAAACUUCAGAGUUGUCCUGGGUACCUAGGGGCCGAAUGGUGGUGACGCAGCCAUCAGGAGCAACAGGAGGAUGGUUGGUCCCAGCAUGUUUUAUUUCUUAAGUGGACGGUGGUGCGUGGGUGUCCACGUUAUGUGAUCAUUAUUUUCAUCUUGCAAAACACCACCUCUGUUGUUGGCAAAUGAAUGAAAUCGUUCAUAAUAAAAGGUUUUUAAAAAGGGCACAAGAUUUGAGUCCAGGCAUUGAGCUCACUGUCUGCCUGUGCUGGCCUAUGGCUGAGGCAGGUCUCCAAAGUUCUCCAAGCCUCAGUUUCCUCAAUGAGCAAGCAGGGCCCGUGAUGGUGCCUCCUUUCAGCACUGGAGAAAUCAGUACCCAGGCAGGUGGGCACAUGUGAUCAGUCCGUGAGCAUCCAAGCACGUAGCUGGUCUCUAUAGCAGCUCAGUUCCUUUCCAUUAAGAGAGAAGAAUGGCUCUUUUGGCCAUAUAACCUGAUACCUUCUUAUGACAUGGCUUAUACCUUUGUGUAAAUAACUUAAACCCAGAAGGGGCUGGAAUCCUCAUAAUGCUGCUGUCUCCAUCCCUGUGGGUGGCUGAAAAACAGAUUCUCUUAGCCCCUGGCCUGUUUCUUUGCCCCUGGCCUAUUUCUCACUCUAAUAUGAACACCAGGAACUGAUAGGUGAGAAGUGCUCUCACUGCUCCCAGACACUGGAUGCUUUUCUUGCUGUGUUUUCUGUGAAUAUUUCCAAAUAAUUGGCCAGCGUCUGCAGGAUGGCAGAGGCAGCUGUGAGGAGGCCCUCAGCCUUAGUUCAUCAAGCCACCCCGGCAUCAAGAACACCUCCCUACGGCACUGCUCCCCAACUUCCAACACACCUGGGGUAAAGUCUACAGUUCACUCCACUCUUACUGGCCUUCUCUGUGGCCCUCAGAUCUGCCACACUGGUUCCUGCCCCAGGGCCCUUGUACUCAUUUCUCUCCCUGCCCAGGACACUCUGAGCCAGCCCUUCACGAGGCUGACAUCCUGCAGCCACUCAGCUCUUGGGCCAUGAAGUCACCUCUUCCAGGAGGUCAUCCUGCCAAGGAGCCCUGUCCUCUGGCUUGGCACUGUUUCUGCUCCCUGCACUGUUUGCUCACUGCUGGCCUCGGUCCCUCUUGGGGAGGGAAGCCAGGAGCCUCAGGCAUGAGGAGAUGAGCCUGGCUCUGGGAGGGGAAGGAGAGGAAAAUGACCAGGCCACCUGCCGAUUCAACCGUGGCAAACCUGUGCUGUUUUGUAAUACCAGGUGCUGAGGACACAGGGUGGGCAACGAGACACAGGUUCUGCCCUGCAGGAAGCUAAAUUCCAUGGUGAAAAAAACAGAAGGCAGGGGGCACGGUGUUCUGGCAGCAUGGGGGAAGUAGGGAGGUUUUCUUGGAAGCAGCGACUUUGAAGGUGAAACAGCAAGGAUGAGUAAGAGCUUGUCAUGUGAGCAGAGUGGGGAGAGGGCCCCUGGCAGAGGACAAGCAAGCAUGAAAGCCGGCAGGCACACGGUGUCCACUGAGGCUGGGGUCUCAUACAAUUUGGCUCUGGGUCCCUACCAAAAUCUCGUGUCAAAUUGUAAUCCCCAUGGGUCAAGGGAGGGACCUGGUGGGAAGUGAUUGGAUCAUGGGGUGGAUUUCCCCCUUGCUGUUCUCAUGAUAGUGCAUGAGUUCUCACGAGAUCUGAUGGUUUGCAAGUGUGUGGCACUUCCCCCUUUGCCCUCUCUCUCUCCUGCCACCUUGCAAAGAUGUGCCUGCUUCCCCUUCACCUUCCACCAUGACUGUAAGUUUCC
This 6978-nucleotide long non-coding RNA is filed under the name Homo sapiens (human). Its description in RNAcentral is "HSALNT0177737". Lineage: Eukaryota; Metazoa; Chordata; Mammalia; Primates; Hominidae. The record is from RNAcentral.